This 77-nucleotide transfer RNA is filed under the name Gemmatimonas sp. SM23_52. RNAcentral's name for it is "tRNA-Arg". It matches the Rfam family "tRNA". From Rfam's summary of the family: Transfer RNA (tRNA) molecules are approximately 80 nucleotides in length. The record is from RNAcentral. Lineage: Bacteria; Pseudomonadati; Gemmatimonadota; Gemmatimonadia; Gemmatimonadales; Gemmatimonadaceae.
GCGCCCGUAGCUCAAUGGGACAGAGCACUGGGCUUCGGACCCAGGGGUUGGGGGUUCGAAUCCUCCCGGGCGCGCCU